CUUUGGAACCUAAUGGCCUGCCACCUUUUAGGCGUGCUUUCAACUCAUUAGAUAUGACACUAGAAGAUUGUCCAAUAGGGAUAUCAAUACGGAUUGGAACAGUCUCUGCGGGGAUGUGAGAUUUUGUUAUCCUUUUCAAGUCCGUGAAUGCGUCAGGCAUUUGAUUUGCUAUUCUUUGCAAAUGGAUAAUAUUUUGCACCNNN
RNAcentral lists this long non-coding RNA (203 nucleotides) under Nicotiana benthamiana. Its description in RNAcentral is "long non-coding RNA (NBEN_LNC034219)". Lineage: Eukaryota; Viridiplantae; Streptophyta; Magnoliopsida; Solanales; Solanaceae. The record is from RNAcentral.